ACUCCUACGGGAGGCAGCAGUGGGGAAUAUUGCACAAUGGGCGAAUGCCUGAUGCAGCGACGCCGCGUGAGGGAUGACGGCCUUCGGGUUGUAAACCUCCUUCAGUAGGGAAGAAGCGAAAGUGACGGUACCUGCAGAAGAAGCGCCGGCUAACUACGUGCCAGCAGCCGCGGUAAU
RNAcentral lists this ribosomal RNA (177 nucleotides) under uncultured Arthrobacter sp. RNAcentral describes it as "partial 16S ribosomal RNA". It matches the Rfam family "Bacterial small subunit ribosomal RNA", at positions 335 to 524 of the family's 1533-position model. Lineage: Bacteria; Bacillati; Actinomycetota; Actinomycetes; Micrococcales; Micrococcaceae. The record is from RNAcentral.